GACAGUAGUGAAAUAGUGUUAGGAAUUAUUAGUAAAAGGAGACCAAGGCAGAGUUUUUCCUUCCAGUCUGGUGUUUCCAGUGCAGCAUGUGUAUUUCUGGCUAUCCUAUUUAAGAAAGAUGCAGAAGAACUUGAAAGACUACAGUGAAGGACAAGAGAGGGGAUCAGACAUAAAGAACAGCUCUGAGGAAGGACUCAGUCUUUAGACUCGAAAAGGAAGAGAUAUGGAGAAGCUGUAACAAAAUUUUGCACAGCAUGGAGUCAUUACACAAGAACUAGCAUCUUCUAUGACCAUGGACAAACAGAGGUUAUUGAGCUGAAAGAACCAUCAUCUGAUGUGGUAUGACUCUUUUGUGUCUUAACUUGACCCCUGGAGCCACAAAUAUGUCUGCAUAUGAGGUUUUGUGAAACGAAACAUAGAUUUUUAAGAUAGAAGCAAUUAACAGUGUUGCUGUGAAGGCUUCAUGGCCUAAUUUGGAUGAUAGAGAUGAACCAUCUGUCAGAAAACCAAUUACCAGAAGAAACCAUGAACCAACAACUUCCCCUGACAGGCAAAACAAUUCACUUCUGGUCAGUACUGUGAACUUUCCCAUAGUUUGAAGACCCCAGACCCAUUUCCAGAAGAGUCUUUAUAAUUAGCUUGAAGAGUGAACAGAGGGAGGAGAUGAACCACCCGCAUGUAAAUUAACUGGGCAUGGCAUGAAAUGUGAUGUGUACUGAAAUCUUCAACGUGUCCACCCCCUCUCCAGAAGAUGUCACGGGACCGAAUAACCUGCAGAGCGAUUGUAUCUUACACUCUCCCUCCCUCUCUCUGAUAUCUCAGUCUAACAUAUCUACUUCAUUUUUCUCCUCUCUCUUUUCCUUCUUCUUGAACUUAUAAAGGUAAUAUCAUUGUAAGUUUUGUUGCUAAAGCCUUGUUAAUUUUUGCACAAUAGUUCCUAACUGUUGACAAUUCACUGUUUUUAGAAGGUUUUUUGCUGUCAAUGUACUGGUAAGUUUUGUGAUACAACAAUAUACUUUUGUCAUAUAAUAAUAUACAAAUCACUAAUCACUGUAAUUUGUGUUCCACCAAGUGCUUUUAGUAAAUUCAU
Columba livia (rock pigeon) is the source of this 1090-nucleotide long non-coding RNA. RefSeq lists it as uncharacterized. NCBI's taxonomy places the organism in Eukaryota, Metazoa, Chordata, Aves, Columbiformes, Columbidae. The transcript has 3 exons. The record is from RefSeq and is a predicted model, not a curated record.